ACGUAGGGGGCCAGCGUUGUCCGGAAUUACUGGGCGUAAAGCGCGCGCAGGCGGUCUGGUAAGCAGUGGGUGAAAUUCCGGGGCUCAACCCCGGAGCUGCUCACUGAACUGCCAGACUCGAGUUCGGGAGAGGGCAGCGGAAUUCCUGGUGUAACGGUGGAAUGUGUAAAUAUCAGGAGGAACACCCGUGGCGAAGGCUGCUGCCUGGAACGAUACUGACGCUGAGGCGCGAAAGCCAGGGGAGCGAACGG
RNAcentral lists this ribosomal RNA (251 nucleotides) under uncultured prokaryote. RNAcentral describes it as "partial 16S rRNA". It matches the Rfam family "Bacterial small subunit ribosomal RNA", at positions 525 to 775 of the family's 1533-position model. The record is from RNAcentral.